This 253-nucleotide ribosomal RNA is filed under the name uncultured bacterium. RNAcentral describes it as "partial 16S ribosomal RNA". It matches the Rfam family "Bacterial small subunit ribosomal RNA", at positions 524 to 776 of the family's 1533-position model. The record is from RNAcentral.
UACGAAGGGGGCUAGCGUUGCUCGGAAUCACUGGGCGUAAAGCGCACGUAGGCGGCUUUCUAAGUCAGGGGUGAAAUCCUGGAGCUCAACUCCAGAACUGCCUUUGAUACUGGGGAGCUCGAGUCCGGAAGAGGUGAGUGGAACUCCGAGUGUAGAGGUGAAAUUCGUAGAUAUUCGGAAGAACACCAGUGGCGAAGGCGACACACUGGGCCAUUACUGACGCUGAGGCGCGAAAGCGUGGGAAGCGAACAGG